CGAGUCAGCUGGGCAAUUGCCAUUGGCGCUCUUUGUUUAUCGCCUGGCGUUAUACAAGGAAGCAGGUGGAGGAAAGUCCGGGCUCCAUAGAGCAGGGUGCCAGGUAACACCUGGGGGGUGUGAACCCACGGCUAGUGCAACAGAAAAUAUACCGCCUGAUUGCUUCUGAGCAGUCGGGUAAGGGUGAAAUGGUGUGGUAAGAGCGCACCGCACGGCUGGUAACAGCUCGUGGCUAGGUAAACCCCACCCGGAGCAAGGUCAAAUAGGAAUCCUUCAGUGUUGCUCGCAUUGGAUUCGGGUAGACCGCUAAAGGCCUGUGGUGACGCAGGUUAUAGAUGAAUAAUUGUCCUCGACAGAACCCGGCUUAUAGGCUGACUUUUUCC
Molecule: RNase P RNA, 383 nt
Filed under: Gammaproteobacteria bacterium
Lineage: Bacteria; Pseudomonadati; Pseudomonadota; Gammaproteobacteria
Description: RNase P RNA component class A
Rfam family: Bacterial RNase P class A
About the family: Ribonuclease P (RNase P) is a ubiquitous endoribonuclease, found in archaea, bacteria and eukarya as well as chloroplasts and mitochondria.
Source: RNAcentral